AGUGAACGCUGGCGGUAGGCCAAACACAUGCAAGUCGAACGGCAGCACAGGAGAGCUUGCUCUCUGGGUGGCGAGUGGCGGACGGGUGAGGAAUACAUCGGAAUCUACUCUGUCGUGGGGGAUAACGUAGGGAAACUUACGCUAAUACCGCAUACGACCCACGGGUGAAAGCAGGGGACCUUCGGGCCUUGCGCGAUUGAAUGAGCCGAUGUCGGAUUAGCUAGUUGGCGGGGUAAAGGCCCACCAAGGCGACGAUCCGUAGCUGGUCUGAGAGGAUGAUCAGCCACACUGGAACUGAGACACGGUCCAGACUCCUACGGGAGGCAGCAGUGGGGAAUAUUGGACAAUGGGCGCAAGCCUGAUCCAGCCAUACCGCGUGGGUGAAGAAGGCCUUCGGGUUGUAAAGCCCUUUUGUUGGGAAAGAAAUCCAGCUGGCUAAUACCCGGUUGGGAUGACGGUACCCAAAGAAUAAGCACCGGCUAACUUCGUGCCAGCCGCCGCGGUAA
This 506-nucleotide ribosomal RNA is filed under the name uncultured bacterium. RNAcentral describes it as "partial 16S ribosomal RNA". It matches the Rfam family "Bacterial small subunit ribosomal RNA", at positions 29 to 523 of the family's 1533-position model. The record is from RNAcentral.